UGCCUACCGUGGUUACUACGGGUAACGGGGAAUCGGGGUUCGAUUCCGGAGAGGGAGCAUGCGAAACGGCUACCACAUCCAAGGAAGGCAGCAGGCGCGCAAAUUACCCACUCCCGGCACGGGGAGGUAGUGACGAAAAAUAACGACGCGGGACUCUGUCGAGGCCCCGCGAUCGGAAUGAGUACACUUCAAAUCCGUUAACGAGGACCAACCGGAGGGCAAGUCUGGUGCCAGCAGCCGCGGUAAUUCCAGCUCCGGUAGCGUAUAUUAAAGUUGUUGCGGUUAAAAAGCUCGUAGUCCGAACUCGGGUUCGUGGUCGCUCACGCGGCCCCGGGGCGGCGGCGCCAUCGUCCAUCGUUGACUUUGGUCGUCCGUUCGCAUUCCCGGCCCUUUCCGCCGGUGUCAAUCGCUAUUAAGACGGUCGCUGGUCAGCUGGUGGUUGGCGUGGUGCUUGCGCUUUGGGGGUUCGACGUGCGGGUUCGCCCAAACUGACUUCCUUCUUUGCGUUCGUGUCCGGGCUUUCGGGCUCCCUUCUGCUGUGCCCCUGUGUGCCGUCGGUGAUUUCUCCUCCAAGGGUGCUCUUAACCGAGUGUCCGCGGCGGCCGGUACGUUCACUUUGAAAAAAUUAGAGUGCUCAGAGCGGGCUGUUCAAGCUUGCAUACUAUAAGCAUGGAAUGAUGGAAGAGGGCCUCGUCUACGUCUGUCGGUCUCCGUCUACGGCGAGGCAAUGAUCGAAGGGAGCGGUCGGGGCCACUCGUAUUGCGACGUUAGAGGUGAAAUUCUUGGAUCGUCGCAAGACGAACUGCAGCGAUGGCGUGUGGCAAGCACGUUUUCCUCGAUCAAGAGCGAAAGUCGGAGGUUCGAAGACGAUCAGAUACCGUCGUAGUUCCGACCGUAAACGAUGCCGACCGGCGAUCCGCCGGCGUUCGCUUCCAUGACCCGGCGGGUAGCCUGCGGGAAACCAGAGUUCGGUUUCCGGGGGGAGUAUGGUUGCAAAGCUGAAACUUAAAGGAAUUGACGGAAGGGCACCACCAGGAGUGGAGCCUGCGGCUUAAUUUGACUCAACACGGGAAAACUCACCCGGUCCGGACACCGGUAGGAUUGACAGAUCGAUAGCUCUUUCUCGAUUCGGUGGGUGGUGGUGCAUGGCCGUUCUUAGUUGGUGGAGCGAUCCGUCUGGUUGAUUCCGAUAACGAACGAGACUCCGGCCUGCUAACUAGUGCGCCGAUGUGAGUGCGGCCUUCGGGUCGUGUGCGGGCUCGUGGGCGAUUUUUGAUCGUCUCUCGUGUCCGGGUCGGUUUCUCACGCACUUCUUAGAGGGACGGGUGGCAGAAAGCCACACGAGGCGGAGCGAUAACAGGUCUGUGAUGCCCUUAGAUGUCCGGGGCCGCACGCGCGCUACACUGGAGGUAUCAGCGGGGACUUCGCCCCGGCCCGAGAGGGUCGGGAAACCUCUCAACCACCUCCCGUGAUAGGGAUCGGGGCCUGUAACCAACCCCGUGAACGAGGAAUUCCCGGUAGGCGCGGGUCAACAGCCCGCGUCGAUCACGUCCCUGCCCUUUGUACACACCGCCCGUCGCUACUACCGAUCGAACGGUCCGGUGAGGUCCUCGGAUCUGGCCGACGACGCCGCCGGGUGAAGGCYUUCGGGUCCCGCCUCGGCGUUCGAUGCCUGGAGAAGACGACCGAACCCGAUCGUUUAGAGGAAGUAAAA
RNAcentral lists this ribosomal RNA (1714 nucleotides) under Gonatopsis cf. okutanii ARL-2008. Its description in RNAcentral is "SSU rRNA". It matches the Rfam family "Eukaryotic small subunit ribosomal RNA", at positions 340 to 1807 of the family's 1831-position model. The record is from RNAcentral. Lineage: Eukaryota; Metazoa; Mollusca; Cephalopoda; Oegopsida; Gonatidae.